RNAcentral lists this ribosomal RNA (431 nucleotides) under Anaplasma phagocytophilum. Its description in RNAcentral is "bacterial SSU rRNA". It matches the Rfam family "Bacterial small subunit ribosomal RNA", at positions 173 to 638 of the family's 1533-position model. Lineage: Bacteria; Pseudomonadati; Pseudomonadota; Alphaproteobacteria; Rickettsiales; Anaplasmataceae. The record is from RNAcentral.
AUAAUCCCUGCGGGGGAAAGAUUUAUCGCUAUUAGAUGAGCCUAUGUUAGAUUAGCUAGUUGGUAGGGUAAAGGCCUACCAAGGCGAUGAUCUAUAGCUGGUCUGAGAGGAUGAUCAACCACACUGGAACUGAGAUACGGUCCAGACUCCUACGGGAGGCAGCAGUGGGGAAUAUUGGACAAUGGGCGCAAGCCUGAUCCAGCUAUGCCGCGUGAGUGAGGAAGGCCUUAGGGUUGUAAAACUCUUUCAGUAGGGAAGAUAAUGACGGUACCUACAGAAGAAGUCCCGGCAAACUCCGUGCCAGCAGCCGCGGUAAUACGGAGGGGGCAAGCGUUGUUCGGAAUUAUUGGGCGUAAAGGGCAUGUAGGCGGUUCGGUAAGUUAAAGGUGAAAUGCCAGGGCUUAACCCUGGAGCUGCUUUUAAUACUGCCA